CACAGCCACCAUAUCAGGGCAGGCCACCGUAGCUCCCUGACUGACUACAUACUAUGAGGAGUGGAGUCAGGUGUGUGGAGUCAGGUCACCAGCUGCCAGCCAUCAUCAUCAUCCUACUCUGCUUCAAAUACCUGGUACCAACUUCCACACUCUGCCAGAUCGUAGACUUGGUCACCUUGUCAGUCAUGGUCCAGCUCCUUGAAUAUUUUUACCUGUCGAAACUUUUUGUUAGUUCUUGUUUCUAUCUGCCUGUGGCAUUCCUGGCCUGAUUCUGCCCCUGACUCCCUCCUGAUCUACCAGAGCCUGCUCUGGAUCUCCUCAGUUCCCCCGAGCCAUGUGGACUCUUCCUGCCCUGCUUUGUUCUGCCCAUUCUCCUGCUCAGUCCCCUGCACCUGCCUCAGCCUCAGAUCCAUCUGCCAGCAUCUGCCUCCCCCUUGCCACUAAGACUCUGCUGCUCCUUUUUAUCUCAACAUGAGGUUGUAAUAAAACCAAUAAUCUGAUUCCAA
Molecule: long non-coding RNA, 506 nt
Organism: Thunnus maccoyii (southern bluefin tuna)
Lineage: Eukaryota; Metazoa; Chordata; Actinopteri; Scombriformes; Scombridae
Exons: 2
Source: RefSeq, a predicted model, not a curated record